This 96-nucleotide non-coding RNA is filed under the name bovine gut metagenome. RNAcentral's name for it is "TPP riboswitch (THI element)". It matches the Rfam family "TPP riboswitch aptamer (THI element)", at positions 10 to 89 of the family's 105-position model. Rfam says of the family: Vitamin B(1) in its active form thiamin pyrophosphate (TPP) is an essential coenzyme that is synthesised by coupling of pyrimidine and thiazole moieties in bacteria. The previously detected thiamin-regulatory element, thi box was extended, resulting in a new, highly conserved RNA secondary structure, the THI element, which is widely distributed in eubacteria and also occurs in some archaea. The record is from RNAcentral.
UGCUCUUCGGGGUGCUCGUUCCGCGUGUUCGAUACGCAGGACGGGCUGAGAUCAUACCCGCAAAACCUGAUCCGGAUAAUGCCGGCGUAGGAAAUC